GACGAACGCUGGCGGCGUGCUUAACACAUGCAAGUCGAACGGAAAGGCUCCAGCCUGCUGGAGUACUCGAGUGGCGAACGGGUGAGUAACACGUGGGUAAUCUGCCCUGCACUCUGGGAUAAGCCUGGGAAACUGGGUCUAAUACUGGAUAUGACCUUUCUCCUUAUGGGGUUUGGUGGAAAGUUUUUCGGUGUAGGAUGAGCCCGCGGCCUAUCAGCUUGUUGGUGGGGUGAUGGCCUACCAAGGCGACGACGGGUAGCCGGCCUGAGAGGGUGAGCGGGCCCAUGGGACCUGGGAAGCGGCCCAAGUCCCCCGGGGGGGCAGGAGGGGGAAAUAUUGACAAAGGGGCGGAAGCCUGAGGCGGGGACCCCGGGGGGGGAGGGCCGGCCUUCGGGUGGAAAACCCUUUUCAGGAGGGACGAGGCGAAAGGGAGGUUACCUGCAGAAAAAGCCCCGGCUAACUAUGU
RNAcentral lists this ribosomal RNA (466 nucleotides) under uncultured bacterium. Its description in RNAcentral is "partial 16S ribosomal RNA". It matches the Rfam family "Bacterial small subunit ribosomal RNA", at positions 28 to 506 of the family's 1533-position model. The record is from RNAcentral.